Molecule: ribosomal RNA, 381 nt
Filed under: uncultured bacterium
Lineage: Bacteria
Description: bacterial SSU rRNA
Rfam family: Bacterial small subunit ribosomal RNA
Source: RNAcentral
AUUGAACGCUGGCGGCAUGCUUUACACAUGCAAGUCGAACGGUAACAGGCCUUCGGGUGCUGACGAGUGGCGAACGGGUGAGUAAUGCAUCGGAACGUGCCCAAUCGUGGGGGAUAACGUAGCGAAAGUUACGCUAAUACCGCAUAAGCCCUGAGGGGGAAAGUGGGGGACCGCAAGGCCUCACGCGAAUGGAGCGGCCCGAUGUCAGAUUAGCUAGUUGGUGGGGUAAAGCCCACAAGGCGACGAUCUGUAGCGGGUCUGAGAGGAUGAUCCGCCACACUGGGACUGAGACACGGUCCAGACUCCUACGGGAGGCAGCAGUGGGGAAUAUUGGACAAUGGGGGCAACCCUGAUCCAGCCAUGCCGCGUGUGUGAAGAAGG